This 422-nucleotide ribosomal RNA is filed under the name uncultured bacterium. RNAcentral describes it as "bacterial SSU rRNA". It matches the Rfam family "Bacterial small subunit ribosomal RNA", at positions 355 to 774 of the family's 1533-position model. The record is from RNAcentral.
UGAGGAAUAUUGGGCAAUGCCCGCAAGGGUGACCCAGCAACGCCGCGUGGAGGAUGAAUGUCGUAAGAUUGUAAACUCCUGUUAGAGGGGAAGAAUAGUACCGGUUGGACCGGUAUAUGACUGUACCCUCAGAGAAAGCCCCGGCUAACUACGUGCCAGCAGCCGCGGUAAUACGUAGGGGGCAAGCGUUGACCGGAUUUACUGGGUGUAAAGGGCGCGCAGGCGGGAUAAAAAGUCAGUGGUGAAAUCCUACAGCUUAACUGUAGAACUUCCUUUGAUACUUUUAUUCUUGAGUUCGGGAGAGAGAGACGGAAUUCCAGGUGUAGUGGUGAAAUACGUAGAUAUCUGGAAGAACACCAGUUGCGAAGGCGGUCUCUUGGUCCGACACUGACGCUGAGGCGCGAAAGCGUGGGGAGCAAACA